RNAcentral lists this ribosomal RNA (481 nucleotides) under uncultured bacterium. Its description in RNAcentral is "partial 16S ribosomal RNA". It matches the Rfam family "Bacterial small subunit ribosomal RNA", at positions 28 to 507 of the family's 1533-position model. The record is from RNAcentral.
GAUGAACGCUGGCGGCGUGCUUAACACAUGCAAGUCGAACGAAGCAUUUGCGACAGAUUUUUUCGGAAUGAAGUUGCUUAUGACUGAGUGGCGGACGGGUGAGUAACGCGUGGGUAACCUGCCUUGUACUGGGGGAUAGCGGCUGGAAACGGCUGGUAAUACCGCAUAAGCGCACAAUGUUGCAUGACAUGGUGUGAAAAACUCCGGUGGUAUAAGAUGGACCCGCGUCUGAUUAGCUAGUUGGUGAGAUAACAGCCCACCAAGGCGACGAUCAGUAGCCGACCUGAGAGGGUGACCGGCCACAUUGGGACUGAGACACGGCCCAGACUCCUACGGGAGGCAGCAGUGGGGAAUAUUGCACAAUGGAGGAAACUCUGAUGCAGCGACGCCGCGUGAGUGAAGAAGUAAUUCGUUAUGUAAAGCUCUAUCAGCAGGGAAGAUAGUGACGGUACCUGACGAAGAAGCUCCGGCUAAAUACGUG